Molecule: ribosomal RNA, 246 nt
Filed under: uncultured Verrucomicrobiota bacterium
Lineage: Bacteria; Pseudomonadati; Verrucomicrobiota
Description: uncultured Verrucomicrobia bacterium partial 16S ribosomal RNA
Rfam family: Bacterial small subunit ribosomal RNA
Source: RNAcentral
ACUCUGGACAGACUGCUCGCUUAAACGAGGAGGGAAGGUGGGGAUGACGUCAAGUCAGUAUGGCCCUUACGGCCAGGGCUGCACACGUACUACAAUGCCCGGCACAAGGGAAGCAAUACCGUAAGGUGGAGCAAAUCCCAAAAACCGGGCCCAGUUCAGAUUGCCGUCUGCAACUCGACGGCAUGAAGCUGGAAUCGCUAGUAAUGGCGCAUCAGCUACGGCGCCGUGAAUACGUUCCCAGGCCUU